AGCAGCAGCCACGGGAAUACGAGGGGGGCAAGCGUUGUUCGGAAUUAUUGGGCGUAAAGGGUGCGUAGGCGGCUUGACAAGUCUUGUGUGAAAUCUAUGGGCUCAACCCAUAGUCUGCACGGGAAACUGUCGGGCUUGAGAAUGGGAGAGGUGAGUGGAAUUUCCGGUGUAGCGGUGAAAUGCGUAGAUAUCGGAAGGAACACCUGUGGCGAAAGCGGCUCACUGGACCAUUUCUGACGCUGAUGCACGAAAGCUAGGGGAGCAAACAGGAUUAGAUACCCCCGUAGUCCCUGUCUCUUAUAC
This 303-nucleotide ribosomal RNA is filed under the name uncultured bacterium. Its description in RNAcentral is "partial 16S ribosomal RNA". It matches the Rfam family "Bacterial small subunit ribosomal RNA", at positions 507 to 807 of the family's 1533-position model. The record is from RNAcentral.